RNAcentral lists this ribosomal RNA (230 nucleotides) under uncultured bacterium. Its description in RNAcentral is "partial 16S ribosomal RNA". It matches the Rfam family "Bacterial small subunit ribosomal RNA", at positions 524 to 753 of the family's 1533-position model. The record is from RNAcentral.
UACGUAGGGUGCGAGCGUUGUCCGGAAUUAUUGGGCGUAAAGGGCUCGUAGGCGGUUUGUCGCGUCGGGAGUGAAAUCCACUGGCUUAACUGGUGGCUUGCUUUCGAUACGGGCAGACUGGAGGUAUGCAGGGGAGAACGGAAUUCCUGGUGUAGCGGUGAAAUGCGCAGAUAUCAGGAGGAACACCGGUGGCGAAGGCGGGUCUCUGGGCAACAACUGACGCUGAGGAG